AACGGAGGAGCACGAAGGUUAGCUAAUCCUGGUCGGACAUCAGGAGGUUAGUGCAAUGGCAUAAGCUAGCUUGACUGCGAGCGUGACGGCGCGAGCAGGUGCGAAAGCAGGUCAUAGUGAUCCGGUGGUUCUGAAUGGAAGGGCCAUCGCUCAACGGAUAAAAGGUACUCCGGGGAUAACAGGCUGAUACCGCCCAAGAGUUCAUAUCGACGGCGGUGUUUGGCACCUCGAUGUCGGCUCAUCACAUCCUGGGGCUGAAGUAGGUCCCAAGGGUAUGGCUGUUCGCCAUUUAAAGUGGUACGCGAGCUGGGUUUAGAACGUCGUGAGACAGUUCGGUCCCUAUCUGCCGUGGGCGCUGGAGAAUUGAGGGGGGCUGCUCCUAGUACGAGAGGACCGGAGUGGACGCAUCACUGGUGUUCGGGUUGUCAUGCCAAUGGCACUGCCCGGUAGCUAAAUGCGGAAGAGAUAAGUGCUGAAAGCAUCUAAGCACGAAACUUGCCCCGAGAUGAGUUCUCCCUGAGACUUUAAGUCUCCUGAAGGAACGUUGAAGACGA
Molecule: ribosomal RNA, 554 nt
Filed under: Klebsiella pneumoniae
Lineage: Bacteria; Pseudomonadati; Pseudomonadota; Gammaproteobacteria; Enterobacterales; Enterobacteriaceae
Description: partial 23S ribosomal RNA
Rfam family: Bacterial large subunit ribosomal RNA
Source: RNAcentral